Long non-coding RNA from Rhineura floridana, 630 nucleotides. RefSeq lists it as uncharacterized. Lineage: Eukaryota; Metazoa; Chordata; Lepidosauria; Squamata; Rhineuridae. The transcript is spliced from 4 exons. The record is from RefSeq and is a predicted model, not a curated record.
GCUAUCCAUCCCCUCUAGGGGUGACGUGGGCUUUUCAUUGGAGUUGAUUCAUAAUAUAAAGGCUCGUGUGAAACAACCUGCCAUCUCCACUUGAAGAUGUGGACACCUUGUUCUGAUCCAAAGGCCCAAGCAAGAUGGAGAUCAGUCAGGCCAAGGUGCAGGAACAGAAGGGAAGGAAAGGCAAAGAGAAAUCAGGACCGUGAACAAGGACCAAGCCACAAAGGCUCCCAGAGUGGCAUGCAAAAACCAGUAGGAAGACAGUCCCUUCCCUCAGGGCUACAGCGUGAUGGGGAUGAGAUUUCAUAUUCAAUAUUAGCUAUCACAGAUCAAAUUUUGAAAUGCCAGCCUUGGGUGUCAGAUAAAGAGGACCUUUGAAAUGAGUUUGAGAGCUGCAGGCUGUCCUCCCUGCCCUGUGGAACUGGAAGCAGCGGGGAACCGUCCUCUGCAACUGAGUAACUGAAGUUGCCGAAAGAGAUCGCUGACACUUUGGAUGCAUUUGAUGGUGAAAAUGGCAUACUGUCUUUGUGGUUUUAAGAUUUCCUCUGCCUGCUUGUUUCUCUGGCUUCAUGAGAAGCUUCCUCCACCACCUUCAUCAUGGUUUAUUACAGUCUCCAAAUUAAAAAUAAUUAU